UUGACGGGGGCCCGCACAAGCGGUGGAGCAUGUGGUUUAAUUCGAUGAUACGCGAGGAACCUUACCAGGGCUUAAAUGUAAGUUGCAUGAUUUAGAGAUAGAUCUUUCUUCGGACUACUUACAAGGUGCUGCAUGGUUGUCGUCAGCUCGUGCCGUGAGGUGUCAGGUUAAGUCCUAUAACGAGCGCAACCCCUGUCGUUAGUUGCCAGCAAGUUAAGUUGGGCACUCUAGCGAGACUGCCAGUGCAAACUGUGAGGAAGGUGGGGAUGACGUCAAAUCAUCACGGCCCUUACGUCCUGGGCUACACACGUGCUACAAUGGUCGGUACAGAGAGCAGCCACUACGCGAGUAGGAGCGAAUCUAUAAAACCGAUCUCAGUUCGGAUCGCAGUCUGCAACUCGACUGCGUGAAGCUGGAAUCGCUAGUAAUCGGAUAUCAGCCAUGAUCCGGUGAAUACGUUCCCGGGCCUUGUACACACCGCCCGUCAAGCCAUGGAAGCUGGGAGUACCUGAAGUCGGUUACCGCAAGGAGCUGCCUAGGGUAAAACUGGUAACUGGGGCUA
Molecule: ribosomal RNA, 562 nt
Filed under: uncultured Bacteroidota bacterium
Lineage: Bacteria; Pseudomonadati; Bacteroidota
Description: bacterial SSU rRNA
Rfam family: Bacterial small subunit ribosomal RNA
Source: RNAcentral